This 508-nucleotide ribosomal RNA is filed under the name uncultured archaeon. RNAcentral's name for it is "bacterial SSU rRNA". It matches the Rfam family "Archaeal small subunit ribosomal RNA", at positions 325 to 832 of the family's 1478-position model. The record is from RNAcentral.
ACGGGGUGCAGCAGGCGCGAAACCUCCCUCAAUGCACACACGUGCGAAGGGGUUACCUCGAGUGCUAUCUGAUGAAGGUAGCUUUUACUUUGUUUAACAAGCAUUUUGAAUAAGAGGGGGGCAAGACUGGUGUCAGCCGCCGCGGUAACACCAGCCCCUCGAGUGGUGGGGAUGAUUAUUUGGCCUAAAGCGUCCGUAGCUGGCCAUGUAAGUCUCCCGUUAAAUCCAGCGUCUCAAGCGUUGGACUGCGGGAGAUACUGCAUGGAUAGAGGGUGGGAGAGGUCAGCGGUAUUCUGGGGGUAGGGGCGAAAUCCUUUGAUCCCUAGAGGACCACCAGUGGCGAAGGCUGCUGACUAGAACACGCCUGACGGUCAGGGACGAAAGCUGGGGUAGCGAACCGGAUUAGAUACCCGGGUAGUCCCAGCCGUAAACGAUGCAUGCUAGGUGUUGAGAUGGCCAUGAGCCGCCCUCAGUGCCGCAGGGAAGCCCGUUAAGCAUGCCGCCUGGG